This 253-nucleotide ribosomal RNA is filed under the name uncultured bacterium. Its description in RNAcentral is "partial 16S ribosomal RNA". It matches the Rfam family "Bacterial small subunit ribosomal RNA", at positions 524 to 776 of the family's 1533-position model. The record is from RNAcentral.
UACGGAGGGGGCUAGCGUUGUUCGGAAUUACUGGGCGUAAAGCGCGCGUAGGCGGCUUUCUAAGUCAGGGGUGAAAUCCUGGAGCUCAACUCCAGAACUGCCUUUGAUACUGGAAAGCUUGAGUUCGGGAGAGGUGAGUGGAACUGCGAGUGUAGAGGUGAAAUUCGUAGAUAUUCGCAAGAACACCAGUGGCGAAGGCGGCUCACUGGCCCGAUACUGACGCUGAGGUGCGAAAGCGUGGGGAGCAAACAGG